GACGAACGCUGGCGGCGUGCUUAACACAUGCAAGUCGAACGAAGUGGCAAACGGGUGAGUAACGCGUAAUCAACCUGCCCUUAAGAGGGGGAUAACAGUAGGAAACGACUGCUAAUACCGCAUACUGAAGGAGGUGGUUGCGUCUGUUUAGCUAGUGGGAGGGGUAAAGGCCCUCCACGGCGAUGAUCAGUAGCCGGUCUGAGGGGAUGAACGGCCACAUGGGGACUGAGACACGGCCCCGACUCCUAAGGGAGGCAGCAGUGGGGAAUCUUCCGAAAUGGACGAAAGUCCGACGGAGCAACGCCGCGGGAGUGAUGACGGCCUUCGGGGUGGAAAGCUCUGUUAAUCGGGACGCGGUACCGGAAUAGAAAGCCACGGCUAACUACGUGCCAGCAGCCGCGGUAAUAC
RNAcentral lists this ribosomal RNA (408 nucleotides) under uncultured bacterium. RNAcentral describes it as "partial 16S ribosomal RNA". It matches the Rfam family "Bacterial small subunit ribosomal RNA", at positions 28 to 526 of the family's 1533-position model. The record is from RNAcentral.